Molecule: non-coding RNA, 221 nt
Organism: Cinara cedri
Lineage: Eukaryota; Metazoa; Arthropoda; Insecta; Hemiptera; Aphididae
Source: the annotation of a GenBank genome assembly
AAAUAUCGCUUCUAUCAAAACGAUUAGACGAGAGAGCUUUUAUGUAGCGAUUUGAAUCUAGUCGGUGCAUCGAGGGAUAUUACCCGGAAAAAUCGGAAAGAAACGCGGGUAAAACGGGAACGUUUACCGACGUCAAGUCCGUAAGUCGGUUUCGUUUUUCUGCUGUGAUUCGGUUAAAAAUGAUUGUGAGAACUUGACCUUUUCAAUAAAUAUAGUGUCGA